UCAGGGAGCAACUGUGGGCAGAUGAAAUU
RNAcentral lists this non-coding RNA (29 nucleotides) under Homo sapiens (human). The record is from RNAcentral. Lineage: Eukaryota; Metazoa; Chordata; Mammalia; Primates; Hominidae.